RNAcentral lists this ribosomal RNA (619 nucleotides) under Klebsiella pneumoniae. Its description in RNAcentral is "partial 23S ribosomal RNA". It matches the Rfam family "Bacterial large subunit ribosomal RNA", at positions 1 to 652 of the family's 2925-position model. The record is from RNAcentral. Lineage: Bacteria; Pseudomonadati; Pseudomonadota; Gammaproteobacteria; Enterobacterales; Enterobacteriaceae.
GGGUUGUGAGGUUAAGCGACUAAGCGUACACGGUGGAUGCCCUGGCAGUCAGAGGCGAUGAAGGACGUGCUAAUCUGCGAAAAGCGUCGGUAAGGUGAUAUGAACCGUUAUAACCGGCGAUGUCCGAAUGGGGAAACCCAGUGCAAUUCGUUGCACUAUCGUUAACUGAAUACAUAGGUUAACGAGGCGAACCGGGGGAACUGAAACAUCUAAGUACCCCGAGGAAAAGAAAUCAACCGAGAUUCCCCCAGUAGCGGCGAGCGAACGGGGAGCAGCCCAGAGUCUGAAUCAGCUUGUGUGUUAGUGGAACGGUCUGGAAAGUCCGACGGUACAGGGUGAUAGUCCCGUACACCAAAAUGCACAGGCUGUGAACUCGAAGAGUAGGGCGGGACACGUGGUAUCCUGUCUGAAUAUGGGGGGACCAUCCUCCAAGGCUAAAUACUCCUGACUGACCGAUAGUGAACCAGUACCGUGAGGGAAAGGCGAAAAGAACCCCGGCGAGGGGAGUGAAAAAGAACCUGAAACCGUGUACGUACAAGCAGUGGGAGCACCUUCGGGUGUGACUGCGUACCUUUUGUAUAAUGGGUCAGCGACUUAUAUUCUGUAGCAAGGUUAACCG